AUUGAACGCUGGCGGCAUGCUUUACACAUGCAAGUCGAACGGUAACAGGGUGCUUGCACCGCUGACGAGUGGCGAACGGGUGAGUAAUGCGUCGGAACGUGCCGAGUAGUGGGGGAUAACGCAGCGAAAGUUGUGCUAAUACCGCAUACGUACUGAGGUAGAAAGUGGGGGACCUUCGGGCCUCACGCUAUUCGAGCGGCCGACGUCUGAUUAGCUAGUAGGUGAGGUAAAGGCUGACCUAGGAGACGAUCAGUAGCGGGUAUGAGAGGGUGAGCCGCAACACGGGGACUGAGACACGGCCCAGACUCCUACGGGAGGAAGCGGUGGGGAAUUUGGGACAAUGGGCGAAAGCCUGAUCCAGCCAUGCCGCGUGUCUGAAGAAGGCCUUGGGGUUGUAAAGGACUUUUGUCAGGGAGGAAAUCCCUAGUGCUAAUAACACUGGGGGAUGACAGUACCUGAAGAAUAAGCACCGGCUAACUACGUGCCAGCCGCCGCGGUAA
This 500-nucleotide ribosomal RNA is filed under the name uncultured bacterium. RNAcentral describes it as "partial 16S ribosomal RNA". It matches the Rfam family "Bacterial small subunit ribosomal RNA", at positions 29 to 523 of the family's 1533-position model. The record is from RNAcentral.